This 661-nucleotide small RNA is filed under the name Drosophila pseudoobscura pseudoobscura. Its description in RNAcentral is "GA30784". The record is from RNAcentral. Lineage: Eukaryota; Metazoa; Arthropoda; Insecta; Diptera; Drosophilidae.
AAUGUCCGAUAGAUCGAAUGAUGGGAUUACUUGUUAUGAGAGCUAGGCGGUCAACCUUAUCUAGCGUGUUUCCGUGCCCUCCGUCAGAUUUUUGAACAGUCGAUAGUAUCGAUAGGAUCAUCGACACCGGACUAGGGCUGCAAAAAAACGUUGAAUGGCGCCGAUUUCAAAUCAAAUUUGAAGUAAAUGGAAAAUAAAAGCAAAAGUACUCCAUACUCCAUUCAAUGUACGGCAAUAAUAAAAACUCUUCUGGCACAAAACUAGUUAUUAUAUAUGUAAAUAUAUAAGGCAUUGUUUGAAGCAAAAAGCCGACCCCUUUGCUGAUGUUUGUGCACAAUCUUUAUACAAUCCAGAACUUGGAUCGGUCCGCGGUCCGCUGCCCGCUCAAUUCAAGAGACCGUGCGUUCCAUUCAUAUUUUGCUCUGUAUGUCUUCACGUUUUUGCAAUCCCAAAAUAUACACAUCCAUUACUGGUUGAUUACGAUUUUUACUUGAUGCCCUUCUGCUUCACAUAUAAUUCUCUCAAUUUAUAAUUACAUCAGAACUAGAAUUAAACUGAAAUCGCUACAAAGUGUAUGUCGUUUUGUUUUGUGUGUGUUUAACAUCGUUUUUGUUUUGUUUUGUUUUUUUUUGUGGUGUUGAUUGUAACUUAAAAAUACAAC